UACGAGAGCCUCGAGCGUUAUCCGGAAUUAUUGGGCGUAAAGGGUGCGUAGGUUGUUCUGUUAGUCUUUUGUCAAAUCCUCGGGCUCAACCUGAGGUUCGCAAAAGAUACGGCAGAACUUGAAAGUGCGAGAGGCGUACGGAACUCAUGGUGUAGGGGUGAAAUCCGUUGAUAUCAUGGGGAACACCAAAAGCGAAAGCAGUACGCUGGCGCAUGUUUGACACUGAAGCACGAAAGCGUGGGUAGCGAAUGGG
Molecule: ribosomal RNA, 253 nt
Filed under: uncultured bacterium
Lineage: Bacteria
Description: partial 16S ribosomal RNA
Rfam family: Bacterial small subunit ribosomal RNA
Source: RNAcentral